CGGGACUCAACGGGGUGUCCUUCAGGGGCUGAGACCAUACCCGCGGAACCUGAUCCUGAUCAUGCUGGCGAAGGAAUUGAGUGCACACCCUUA
Molecule: non-coding RNA, 93 nt
Filed under: Marinobacter sp.
Lineage: Bacteria; Pseudomonadati; Pseudomonadota; Gammaproteobacteria; Pseudomonadales; Marinobacteraceae
Also listed under: 1 other name
Description: TPP sequence
Rfam family: TPP riboswitch aptamer (THI element)
About the family: Vitamin B(1) in its active form thiamin pyrophosphate (TPP) is an essential coenzyme that is synthesised by coupling of pyrimidine and thiazole moieties in bacteria. The previously detected thiamin-regulatory element, thi box was extended, resulting in a new, highly conserved RNA secondary structure, the THI element, which is widely distributed in eubacteria and also occurs in some archaea. Analysis of operon structures identified a large number of new candidate thiamin-regulated genes, mostly transporters, in various prokaryotic organisms.
Source: RNAcentral